GGCAAUCUGCCCUGCACUCUGGGAUAACUCCGGGAAACCGGAGCUAAUACCGGAUACGACUCUCCAGGGCAUCCUGGGGGGUGGAAAGCUCCGGCGGUGCAGGAUGAGCCCGCGGCCUAUCAGCUGGUUGGUGGGGUAACGGCCCACCAAGGCGACGACGGGUAGCCGGCCUGAGAGGGCGACCGGCCACACUGGGACUGAGACACGGCCCAGACUCCUACGGGAGGCAGCAGUGGGGAAUAUUGCACAAUGGGCGCAAGCCUGAUGCAGCGACGCCGCGUGAGGGAUGACGGCCUUCGGGUUGUAAACCUCUUUCAGCAGGGAAGAAGCGCGAGUGACGGUACCUGCAGAAGAAGCACCGGCUAACUACGUGCCAGCAGCCGCGGUAAUACGUAGGGUGCGAGCGUUGUCCGGAAUUAUUGGGCGUAAAGAGCUCGUAGGCGGCCUGUCGCGUCGGAUGUGAAAGCCCGGGGCUUAACCCCGGGUCUGCAUUCGAUACGGGCAGGCUAGAGUUCGGUAGGGGAGAUCGGAAUUCCUGGUGUAGCGGUGAAAUGCGCAGAUAUCAGGAGGAACACCGGUGGCGAAGGCGGAUCUCUGGGCCGAUACUGACGCUGAGGAGCGAAAGCGUGGGGAGCG
RNAcentral lists this ribosomal RNA (636 nucleotides) under Streptomyces sp. MJH43. Its description in RNAcentral is "bacterial SSU rRNA". It matches the Rfam family "Bacterial small subunit ribosomal RNA", at positions 120 to 770 of the family's 1533-position model. Lineage: Bacteria; Bacillati; Actinomycetota; Actinomycetes; Kitasatosporales; Streptomycetaceae. The record is from RNAcentral.